UGCUUGGGAAUAUGCCUUAAGGUGGGGGACAACAGUUGGAAACGACUGCUAAUACCGCAUAAUGUCUACGGACCAAAGAGGGGGACCUUCGGGCCUCUUGCCUUUUGAUUAGCCCAAGUGAGAUUAGCUAGUAGGUGAGGUAAAGGCUCACCUAGGCGACGAUCUCUAGCUGGUUUGAGAGGAUGAUCAGCCACACUGGGACUGAGACACGGCCCAGACUCCUACGGGAGGCAGCAGUGGGGAAUAUUGCACAAUGGGCGCAAGCCUGAUGCAGCCAUGCCGCGUGUGUGAAGAAGGCCU
RNAcentral lists this ribosomal RNA (300 nucleotides) under uncultured Colwelliaceae bacterium. Its description in RNAcentral is "bacterial SSU rRNA". It matches the Rfam family "Bacterial small subunit ribosomal RNA", at positions 114 to 417 of the family's 1533-position model. The record is from RNAcentral. Lineage: Bacteria; Pseudomonadati; Pseudomonadota; Gammaproteobacteria; Alteromonadales; Colwelliaceae.